This 675-nucleotide ribosomal RNA is filed under the name Nonomuraea sp. YIM 63649. RNAcentral describes it as "bacterial SSU rRNA". It matches the Rfam family "Bacterial small subunit ribosomal RNA", at positions 49 to 744 of the family's 1533-position model. The record is from RNAcentral. Lineage: Bacteria; Bacillati; Actinomycetota; Actinomycetes; Streptosporangiales; Streptosporangiaceae.
UGCUACUAUGCAAGUCGAGCGGAAGGCCCUUCGGGGUACUCGAGCGGCGAACGGGUGAGUAACACGUGAGCAACCUGCCCCUGACUCUGGGAUAAGCCCGGGAAACUGGGUCUAAUACCGGAUACGACCGCCCCCGGCAUCGGGUGGUGGUGGAAAGUCUUUUCGGUUGGGGAUGGGCUCGCGGCCUAUCAGCUUGUUGGUGGGGUAGUGGCCUACCAAGGCGACGACGGGUAGCCGGCCUGAGAGGGCGACCGGCCACACUGGGACUGAGACACGGCCCAGACUCCUACGGGAGGCAGCAGUGGGGAAUAUUGCGCAAUGGGCGGAAGCCUGACGCAGCGACGCCGCGUGGGGGAUGACGGCCUUCGGGUUGUAAACCUCUUUCAGCAGGGACGAAGUUGACGUGUACCUGCAGAAGAAGCGCCGGCUAACUACGUGCCAGCAGCCGCGGUAAUACGUAGGGCGCAAGCGUUGUCCGGAAUUAUUGGGCGUAAAGAGCUCGUAGGUGGCUUGUCGCGUCUGCCGUGAAAGCUCGCAGCUUAACUGCGGGUCUGCGGUGGAUACGGGCUGGCUAGAGGUAGGUAGGGGAGAACGGAAUUCCUGGUGUAGCGGUGAAAUGCGCAGAUAUCAGGAGGAACACCGGUGGCGAAGGCGGUUCUCUGGGCCUUACCUGAC